AUUUUUUUUUUGUUAUAUUUAUAUUGAUCUUUCAAGUCCAUUUUUAAAAUUUGGCUUUUUCUUUAUUAACAUUUUUUUUUUUUUUUUUUUUUUUUCUGUGCUUAAAAUACCUAAUUUGAAUUUUUUUUACAAACUCAGUUUAAAAGAAGAAAAAAAAAGAUAAUAUACCUAGCUAUUUUUUUUUUUUAUGUAACCCUACAAAAAAUAUAUAUAUAUUAUAUGUACGUACGUACGUAUGCACACAUAUAUGUUUAUAUCAAAGUAAAACAAUAUGGCAACAAACAAAAUUGACGAUUCUCCUUUUAUUUCUAAGAUGGAGAAUUUUGAAAUAUCUGAUAAAAAAAAUAAUGAUUGUAAAAAUGAAUUAAAAAAUGUAUAUAGGAAUUUAGACAAUGANNNNNNNNNNNNNNNNNNNNNNNNNNNNNNNNNNNNNNNNNNNNNNNNNNNNNNNNNNNNNNNNNNNNNNNNNNNNNNNNNNNNNNNNNNNNNNNNNNNNUUUUUUUUUUUUAUGUCACCCUACAAAAAAAAAAUAUAUAUUAUAUGUAUGUAUGUAUGUAUGUAUGUAUGUAUGCAUGCACAUAUAUAUGUUUACACUAAAGUAAAACAAUAUGGCAACAAAAAAAAUAGACGACUCUCCUUUUAUUUCUAAGAUGGAGAAUUUUGAAAUAUCUGAUAAAAAAAAUAACGAUUGUAAAAAUGAAUUACAAAAUGUGUAUAGGAACUUAGAUAAUGAAUUUAAUUUUGAUGAAGAUAAAGGGGAAGGCAAUAAAAAUGAUGAGGAGGCAGAACAAGAUCAAGAGCAAGAAGAUAAAAAGAAACAAAGUAGUUUUAAGAAUAAUUUUAAAAAUGAUAAUAAGAAAGAUGUGAAAAUAAAAACAAUUAAAAUUGAUAGAAAAAAACUAAAAAAAAUGUUUAGUAGUCAAUUUUUUACUCAAACUUUAACUGAUUCUUCUAGUACAGAAUCCAUAAAAGAAAUAAAGACAAAUAAAAAAUAUAUGUUUAUGGAAAUUAUUAAAAUGCUUUUAAUCAUGAUUUUAUUUUUUAUUUCUUCUUACUUUGCAUUAUGUUAUAUUUUUAACUAUUUUAUGGGCCAAAAUAAUAUAUGUGCUAAUAUGGAUUUAUACAAUUAUAAAUACGAAAACAGUGUACAUUUUAUUCCUAGCAUUAGUAAUAAAAAGUAUUAUGUUUUUACAGGAAAAUUUCCAUUUGAUGUUAUAACACAUAAACUCAGAAAAGACAUCCUCAAAAAAAGUAUGAAUGAGGAAAUCAUUAAAUAUAACAAUGAAAAUCCAGCAAAUAGCAUUAAUCUGAUUUUUAAUUUAAAUGACGAUGCAAUACAAAUAAUUUCUUUUAAUAGAUCUGACAGUAAACCGAAAUGUGAAAAAAAAAUCUUUGAUUUAUAUAAACCUUUUCAUUUAAAAACAACUAAUACUGAUGUUAAUAUAAAUAAUUUUAAUUAUUUGUUAAAUAAUGUUAACUAUAAAUUUAUAACAAAUCCUUAUAACAUUCCUGAACAUAAAGUAAGCGCAACGAAAUAUUUAGAAACAUAUAUCAGAAAAUCAUGGAAAACAAAAUGCACUCACGUGUAUGCAUGUAUGUAUGUAUGCAUGUGUGUAUGUAUGUAUGUAUGCAUGUGUGUAUGUAUGCAUGUAUGUAUGUAUGUAUGCAUGUAUGCAUGUAUGUAUGCAUGUAUGUAUGUAUGCAUGUAUGUAUGUAUGCAUGUAUGUAUGCAUGUAUGUAUGUAUGCAUGUAUGUAUGCAUGUAUGUAUGUAUGCAUGUAUGUAUGUAUAUAUAUAUAUAUGUACAUACACAUAAUACCUUAUUUAUGAAGGGGUUAUACAAAAAGGGAAUUUUAUGUUUACUAACCAUACAUACACAUUUGCACAUAUAUAUGUAUACAUACCUAUAAAUGCAUUUUUUUUUUUUUUUUUUUUUGCACAUUCUAGCUAUACGGAGAAGUAUCAAAAUUUAUGAACAUAAGCGAAAAAAAAAAUAAAAUUUGUUACAUAACGUCUUAUUUAAAGUCU
This 2027-nucleotide long non-coding RNA is filed under the name Piliocolobus tephrosceles (Ugandan red Colobus). RNAcentral describes it as "lncRNA (ENSPTEG00000012367.1)". Lineage: Eukaryota; Metazoa; Chordata; Mammalia; Primates; Cercopithecidae. The record is from RNAcentral.